This 486-nucleotide ribosomal RNA is filed under the name uncultured bacterium. RNAcentral's name for it is "bacterial SSU rRNA". It matches the Rfam family "Bacterial small subunit ribosomal RNA", at positions 364 to 841 of the family's 1533-position model. The record is from RNAcentral.
UUUCGCAAUGCCCGAAAGGGUGACCGAGCGACGCCGCGUGCGGGAAGAAGGCCUUCGGGUUGUAAAGCCCUGUCACACGGGACGAAUGCCUUCUCGGCGAACAGCCGAAAAGGAGAGACGGUACCGUGAGAGGAAGCUCCGGCUAACUCUGUGCCAGCAGCCGCGGUAAGACAGAGGGAGCGAGCGUUGUUCGGAUUUACUGGGCGUAAAGGGCGCGUAGGCGGGAUGGCCCGUCCGAUGUGAAAGUGCUACCGCUCAACGGAGCAAAGGCAUCGGAAACCGCCAUUCUGGAGACCGGGAGAGGUGAGUGGAAUUGCUGGUGUAGCGGUGGAAUGUACAGAUAUCAGCAAGAACACCGGUGGCGAAGGCGGCUCACUGGCCCGGUUCUGACGCUGAGUGCGCGAAAGCGUGGGGAGCAAACGGGAUUAGAUACCCCGGUAGUCCACGCCCUAAACGGUGGGCACUAAGUAGAGGGGUUUUAAUCUC